CUUAAUUUUUACGUUCUCGUCUCGGUUUUCGUUUAAUUUAUGAAGAGCUAUAUUAAAAUAAACUUUUAAAAAGUAAUUCUAAACACGUUAAAAAUUUUGGUUCUUCUUUCGUUUGGGUCCAUCGUUUAAUAAACCGCGGCGUUAAAAGAAGUCUUUUACGAAAGUAUAGCGUCCCUUCGUUUGAAUUCGAAUCGGCGUUUGCGUGUUUGGAUCACGGUACGCGGAUCCCGUUUUCGUGUUUUGAUUUUGUGUUAUUAAACUCAACCCUUAAAAUAAUAAUAAUAACCUAUAAAGAUAAAAGAAUUCUUACCACUCGGCAAUCUAGUUAGGUCAUUUUGGUGAUAAGGAUGUAAAUGUAAGAUUAUCGGAAAAUGGCGUCCCAUUUCAAACUUUCUUUCAUUGCUAGCGGGUUUAAAACAACGUUUUGUGCCAUUUUUCCGUGUUUGACAUCAAGACGCCUAAGAUGUCACGAGUAUGCUGAUUUAAGUUCUUGACGAACGAGGAGUGCCGGAGAAGUGUGCAGUGUUUCAUCAUUACUUUGGUUGAUAUGGUUCUUCCCAGGACAGACUGAAUUAUUGAGGCUAAAGGAUUGCAGAAAUGCGGCCUCAUAAGGCGCCAUCGACGUCGCUCAACCUGCUGAUGAGGAUUAUGCUGACCGCCAGUGCCGGAUUAAGUAUUCCUGAGGCAGGGUUUACCUACAAAAGCCCCCCUCCACCCCUCCCCUUAUCAAAAAUUUCAGUUCCAACUUUUACCUUCUAAGAUUAUCAACAAGCAAUUGAACAAGAAACUAAAUUUUUUGGUCCUCUGAUUA
Molecule: long non-coding RNA, 811 nt
Organism: Photinus pyralis (common eastern firefly)
Lineage: Eukaryota; Metazoa; Arthropoda; Insecta; Coleoptera; Lampyridae
Exons: 4
Source: RefSeq, a predicted model, not a curated record